Molecule: RNA transcript, 2097 nt
Organism: Solanum lycopersicum (tomato)
Lineage: Eukaryota; Viridiplantae; Streptophyta; Magnoliopsida; Solanales; Solanaceae
Gene name: UDP-glycosyltransferase TURAN
Source: RefSeq, a predicted model, not a curated record
AAAAAAUUGACUUUCUACCUUCUAUUUUACCAAACACGCCCCUAAUUUCUUCAUUUCUCUCCUCGGAUCUCCUUCAUCUUCGUCGAUUUCCCCUGUAUUUAACUGAGUACUUUCACUCUAACUGGAAUGGAUUUUUAAUCUCAAUUUCUGUUCCGGAAGUAAGAAUUUUGUUUAGAAAUCAUGUCAGGACAAAAUGAACCGAGGAUCCGACCCAGCGGUAGAGCAGCGGUAGUCGUUCUCGGUGAUAUUGGACGUAGCCCUCGUAUGCAAUAUCAUGCUCUUUCCCUUGCUCGUCAGGCUCAUCUAGAGGUUGACAUUGUUGCAUAUGGAGGUUCGGACCCUCAUUCUGCUGUAAAAGAGCAUAAAUCUAUUCACAUCAAUGAAAUGACACAGUGGCCAUCAAACCCCAGAAGUUUUCCAAAGAUACUCCAUCCUUUAUUGCUCAUACUUAAGCCACUGGUCCAGUUUUUUAUGCUCCUAUGGUAUCUCUGUGUUAAAAUUCCUAAGCCGGAUGUUUUCAUAGUUCAGAAUCCACCAUCUGUUCCUACACUGGUUGCUGUAAAAUUGGCCAGUUGGAUUAGACGUUCUGCGUUCAUUAUAGAUUGGCAUAACUUUGGAUAUACUCUUCUAGCAUUGUCUCUCGGGAGGAAUAGUCGGUUUGUGGCUUUAUAUCAUUGGAUUGAGAAGCAUUUUGGGAAAAUGGCUAAUGGUUCCUUAUGUGUGACAAAGGCAAUGCAACAUGAAUUGUCUCAAAACUGGGGAAUCAGUGCCACUGUUCUAUAUGAUCAACCUCCUGAUUUUUUUCAACCUGCUUCCCUGGAGGAGAAGCACAAGUUGUUUUGUGGGAUUGAUAAGAGUCUGAGAACACCUUACAGCCUUCAAGACUGUCUUAGCAAUGAGGAACUAACACCAGACGAUGACAACCCUAAUGUAACUCUAUUUACAACUCAGACUGGCACAGAUAUUUCCUUGAAGUGGAACAGACCAGCGCUCAUUGUAAGCAGUACAAGCUGGACUCCGGAUGAAGAUUUUAGCAUUCUCUUAGAAGCAGCACUAAUGUAUGAUAGAAGGGUUUCUGCAUUGCUGAACGAGGAUGACUUGAAGAGGGAGGAUGUUUUCUGGCAGGAAAUCAAGGGUGGGAAGCAAUACCCUAGAUUAUUAUUUAUAAUUACAGGUAAAGGGCCUGAAAAGGAAAAAUAUGAACAAAAGAUGGCAAAACUCAACCUUAAACGUGUAGCAUUUCGUACUAUGUGGUUAGAGCCAGAGGAUUACCCAUUGCUUCUUGGAUCAGCAGAUCUUGGUGUUUGCUUGCAUACGUCCUCUUCAGGGUUGGAUCUUCCAAUGAAGGUUUCAUUCUUGUAUAUUCCUUUUAGGUUGUGGAUAUGUUUGGCUGUGGAUUACCAGUCUGUGCUGUUUCCUACUCUUGUAUCAACGAGCUGGUCGAAGUUGACAAGAAUGGCCUACUCUUCUCUUCAUCCUCGGAACUGGCUGAUCAAUUUGUGACGCUGUUUAAGGGAUUCCCAGGUGAAUGUGAUGAGUUGAAGUCGCUGAGACAGGGAGUAUUGGCAAGCAGAUCUUCUGUUAAUUGGGCAACAGAGUGGGAAGCAAACGCCAAACCCCUAAUAUCCAAGGUUAUUUUUGACAACUCGAGCUGAUUUUGAAGCAAAGAUUUCAAGAACUCUGGUGUCAACUACCCUACAGAUCAGACGAAUUUCGGGAAUUAUAUGCUCAUCUAGUGUCACACUGCAAGCCGAAGGUCCCUGCUACUCUCCCCGGCCCCUUUCCAGGCUCCACAGAGAAACCAAUUUUUGCGGCUCUAUUAGGAUCAUUAGUCGGUCAGUAGUCACAGAUUUCUGUUUUGGGUUUUGUGAGAACUGAAGUUGUACAGCUUUAGAAGUGGCCAUAGCACUAUUGAGGUUUCACUUGCCUUUUACCUCUCAUAGUAGUUUAACAAAGUUAUAUACAUCGUGGGGUUGCUUUACGACGUUCCCAGAAUACAUUUUGUGUGUUAUUUGAACCAAAAAAAGUGUGAAAAAUAACAGAUUUUGAACACUAACUCAAGUCUUUGUAUAUCUAGCAACCUUAGUCUUGUUGUUA